GGUACUGUGGCCGAGUGGUUAUGGCGUCACGUUUAGGUUUCUAUAUUGAACCAAUCCGUGAUGGGAAACCUCGCGAGUUCGAAUCUCGUCAGUGCCA
Lactarius deliciosus is the source of this 97-nucleotide non-coding RNA. The record is from the annotation of a GenBank genome assembly. NCBI's taxonomy places the organism in Eukaryota, Fungi, Basidiomycota, Agaricomycetes, Russulales, Russulaceae.